Molecule: ribosomal RNA, 253 nt
Filed under: uncultured bacterium
Lineage: Bacteria
Description: partial 16S ribosomal RNA
Rfam family: Bacterial small subunit ribosomal RNA
Source: RNAcentral
UACGUAGGGUGCGAGCGUUAAUCGGAAUUACUGGGCGUAAAGCGUGCGCAGGCGGUUUUGUAAGCCAGAUGUGAAAUCCCCGGGCUUAACCUGGGAAUGGCAUUUGGGACUGCAAGGCUGGAGUGUGGCAGAGGAGACUGGAAUUCCUGGUGUAGCAGUGAAAUGCGUAGAUAUCAGGAGGAAUACCGAUGGCGAAGGCAGGUCUCUGGGCUAACACUGACGCUCAUGCACGAAAGCCGGGGGAGCAAACAGG